AAUAAGUGCAGUUUUAGCACUCUUCAUGUCUAACAUUUGACCGUUUGUUUUAUUUGAAAAAGAUUAUGAUUAGUAUUUUUAUUAUUACUAUGAAUAGUGUGGCUAAUUUUUUUAAAUAUUUUUUAUAAAUUUUUUAAAUAAGAUGGAUGGUUGAAACGCUAAACAUAAAUAUUUAUGGCUACAUUUAUU
RNAcentral lists this microRNA precursor (189 nucleotides) under Oryza sativa Indica Group (long-grained rice). Its description in RNAcentral is "MIR812 microRNA precursor family". It matches the Rfam family "MIR812 microRNA precursor family". Lineage: Eukaryota; Viridiplantae; Streptophyta; Magnoliopsida; Poales; Poaceae. The record is from Rfam by way of RNAcentral.